UACGAAGGGAGCUAGCGUUGUUCGGAAUCACUGGGCGUAAAGCGCACGUAGGCGGAUGUGUCAGUCGGGGGUGAAAUCCCGGAGCUCAACUUCGGAACUGCCUUUGAUACAGCACAUCUGGAGUCCGGAAGAGGUGGGUGGAAUUCCUAGUGUAGAGGUGAAAUUCGUAGAUAUUAGGAAGAACACCGGUGGCGAAGGCGGCCCACUGGUCCGGUACUGACGCUGAGGUGCGAAAGCGUGGGGAGCAAACAGG
RNAcentral lists this ribosomal RNA (253 nucleotides) under uncultured bacterium. RNAcentral's name for it is "partial 16S ribosomal RNA". It matches the Rfam family "Bacterial small subunit ribosomal RNA", at positions 524 to 776 of the family's 1533-position model. The record is from RNAcentral.